Molecule: ribosomal RNA, 253 nt
Filed under: uncultured bacterium
Lineage: Bacteria
Description: partial 16S ribosomal RNA
Rfam family: Bacterial small subunit ribosomal RNA
Source: RNAcentral
UACGAAGGGGGCUAGCGUUGUUCGGAUUUACUGGGCGUAAAGCGCGCGUAGGCGGGUUGUUAAGUCAGGGGUGAAAUCCUGGAGCUCAACUCCAGAACUGCCUUUGAUACUGGCAACCUAGAGGCUGGAAGAGGUUAGUGGAAUUCCCAGUGUAGAGGUGAAAUUCGUAGAUAUUGGGAAGAACACCAGUGGCGAAGGCGGCUAACUGGUCCAGAUCUGACGCUGAGGUGCGAAAGCGUGGGGAGCAAACAGG